Molecule: ribosomal RNA, 301 nt
Filed under: uncultured bacterium
Lineage: Bacteria
Description: partial 16S ribosomal RNA
Rfam family: Bacterial small subunit ribosomal RNA
Source: RNAcentral
CAGUAGCCGCGGUAAAACGUAGGUGGCAAGCGUUGUCCGGAUUUAUUGGGCGUAAAGCAAGCGCAGGCGGUCAAUUAAGUCUGAUGUGAAAGCCCCCGGCUCAACCGGGGAGGGUCAUUGGAAACUGGUUGACUUGAGUGCAGAAGAGGAGAGUGGAAUUCCAUGUGUAGCGGUGAAAUGCGUAGAUAUAUGGAGGAACACCAGUGGCGAAGGCGACUCUCUGGUCUGUAACUGACGCUGAGGCACGAAAGCGUGGGUAGCAAACAGGAUUAGAUACCCGAGUAGUCCCUGUCUCUUAUAC